UCGGAUUGCAGUCUGCAACUCGACUGCAUGAAGCUGGAAUCGCUAGGAAUCGCGGAUCAGAAUGCCGCGGUGAAUACGUUCCCGGGUCUUGUACACACCGCCCGUCACACCAUGGGAGUCGGAUAUGCCCGAAGUCAGUGACCCAACCGCAAGGAGGGAGCUGCCGAAGGUGGAGCCGAUGACUGGGGUGAAGUCGUAACAAGGUAAC
This 208-nucleotide ribosomal RNA is filed under the name uncultured bacterium. Its description in RNAcentral is "partial 16S ribosomal RNA". It matches the Rfam family "Bacterial small subunit ribosomal RNA", at positions 1293 to 1500 of the family's 1533-position model. The record is from RNAcentral.